This 751-nucleotide ribosomal RNA is filed under the name uncultured Comamonadaceae bacterium. RNAcentral's name for it is "bacterial SSU rRNA". It matches the Rfam family "Bacterial small subunit ribosomal RNA", at positions 28 to 776 of the family's 1533-position model. Lineage: Bacteria; Pseudomonadati; Pseudomonadota; Betaproteobacteria; Burkholderiales; Comamonadaceae. The record is from RNAcentral.
AUUGGACGCUGGCGGCAUGCCUUACACAUGCAAGUCGAACGGUAACAGGUCUUCGGAUGCUGACGAGUGGCGAACGGGUGAGUAAUACAUCGGAACGUGCCCGAUCGUGGGGGAUAACGAAGCGAAAGCUUUGCUAAUACCGCAUACGAUCUACGGAUGAAAGCAGGGGACCGCAAGGCCUUGCGCGAACGGAGCGGCCGAUGGCAGAUUAGGUAGUUGGUGGGAUAAAAGCUUACCAAGCCGACGAUCUGUAGCUGGUCUGAGAGGACGACCAGCCACACUGGGACUGAGACACGGCCCAGACUCCUACGGGAGGCAGCAGUGGGGAAUUUUGGACAAUGGGCGAAAGCCUGAUCCAGCCAUGCCGCGUGCAGGAUGAAGGCCUUCGGGUUGUAAACUGCUUUUGUACGGAACGAAAAGACUCUGGUUAAUACCUGGGGUCCAUGACGGUACCGUAAGAAUAAGCACCGGCUAACUACGUGCCAGCAGCCGCGGUAAUACGUAGGGUGCAAGCGUUAAUCGGAAUUACUGGGCGUAAAGCGUGCGCAGGCGGUUAUAUAAGACAGAUGUGAAAUCCCCGGGCUCAACCUGGGAACUGCAUUUGUGACUGUAUAGCUAGAGUACGGCAGAGGGGGAUGGAAUUCCGCGUGUAGCAGUGAAAUGCGUAGAUAUGCGGAGGAACACCGAUGGCGAAGGCAAUCCCCUGGGCCUGUACUGACGCUCAUGCACGAAAGCGUGGGGAGCAAACAGG